UACGGAGGGAGCUAGCGUUGUUCGGAAUUACUGGGCGUAAAGCGUGCGCAGGCGGGCUUUUAAGCCAGACGUGAAAUCCCCGGGCUUAACCUGGGAAUGGCGUUUGGGACUGGAAGUCUGGAGUGCGGCAGAGGAGACUGGAAUUCCUGGUGUAGCAGUGAAAUGCGUAGAUAUCAGGAGGAACACCGAUGGCGAAGGCAGGUCUCUGGGCUGACACUGACGCUCAUGCACGAAAGCGUGGGGAGCAAACAGG
This 253-nucleotide ribosomal RNA is filed under the name uncultured bacterium. RNAcentral's name for it is "partial 16S ribosomal RNA". It matches the Rfam family "Bacterial small subunit ribosomal RNA", at positions 524 to 776 of the family's 1533-position model. The record is from RNAcentral.